GGGAAUGUGGCUUAGUGGUAGAGUGCUUGCCUAGCACGCAUGAACCCUGGGUUCCAUUCCUU
This 62-nucleotide transfer RNA is filed under the name Dipodomys ordii (Ord's kangaroo rat). It matches the Rfam family "tRNA", at positions 1 to 62 of the family's 71-position model. Rfam says of the family: Transfer RNA (tRNA) molecules are approximately 80 nucleotides in length. Their secondary structure includes four short double-helical elements and three loops (D, anti-codon, and T loops). The record is from Rfam by way of RNAcentral. Lineage: Eukaryota; Metazoa; Chordata; Mammalia; Rodentia; Heteromyidae.